UCCCGCCAAAAACGUAAACCCGUG
RNAcentral lists this non-coding RNA (24 nucleotides) under Arabidopsis thaliana (thale cress). The record is from RNAcentral. Lineage: Eukaryota; Viridiplantae; Streptophyta; Magnoliopsida; Brassicales; Brassicaceae.